CAGGAACACAGAUUCUCCCUCUGUGCUGUGCUAACUGAAGUUGAAGGAAGGAAGGUCUAGGCAAAACAAGACUGUCUUUCCUACCCUCUUCAAUGUCUCUGUCCUCGUUACUACAUUAUAACCAGGUACACCAGUCCCCAAGAUGGCCAAAUAGGAACAGCUCCAGUCUACAGCUCCCAGCGUGAGUGACGCAGAAGAUGGGUGAUUUCUGCAUUUCCAUUUGAG
This 225-nucleotide long non-coding RNA is filed under the name Homo sapiens (human). Its description in RNAcentral is "HSALNT0319921". Lineage: Eukaryota; Metazoa; Chordata; Mammalia; Primates; Hominidae. The record is from RNAcentral.